CAGAGCUUCGGCUACACCAGCGCAUUCUGACUCAACAUGGCUAUACGGUUGUCAUCGCUGAAGAAAGGCUCAAAGCUGGCCUAGGGCUGGGGCUACUAGAACAAGGUGAUCUGGGCUCUUGGGAUCUGCUCAUUUGCCUGUCUUCUAAGAAAGCAGAAGGAACACCCUGUAUAUCCAAGGAAGUCAUGUGCCAGUUAGGUUUACAUCAAAAGGCUUCACCAGCUAAUGAGGACAAAUGAGGUCACAUUGGCAUUAGUAUUGGUA
RNAcentral lists this small RNA (264 nucleotides) under Pongo abelii (Sumatran orangutan). RNAcentral describes it as "processed transcript". The record is from RNAcentral. Lineage: Eukaryota; Metazoa; Chordata; Mammalia; Primates; Hominidae.